AUGGGCCUGGGGAAGCUGUUUGUCACAGAUAGGGAACUGGCUUAUGGACAGGAAGCACGGAGAGAGCUAAACAACUGCUUUCACGGGUAGGAAGCAUAGAGGAUGGGGUAUCCACGCUGGACUUCUGUAAAGAGAAACAUCCUCUCGUAAACGAUUUGGAUCCUCUAAGGGAGGAAUAACUGGGCCCUGGAUGUGAUGUGAUGAGUGAAUAUUCCUGAUGAGAAGUGGAAAUAAUUCAUGGUUGAGAGCUGUGCCUCAGAUCAGAGUGACAGGAUACAUGGCCAGGCUAUAUUUUCCAGCAGAUUACGUUAAAAGCUGUGGCCUAAGACUCUAAAGUAUGAAGACAAAAGGAGAAGAUGACACAAUAUCUUUCUAAAGAAAUAUUUUCCAGCCAAACGGUGCAGCAGAUGACUUCUAGGAAUUUGUUCUUGUUCUCUAUUGAAGGUCCACUUUCAACCACUGGAGUGCCUGGCACAGAACUGGGUGGGACUGGUAGAGAGGGGCAGGAGCCUCUCUCUCCUUGCUCUGCUCUGCAGCCUAGGCCAGCUGUUGUCAGAGGCCGGGAGGAGCUCAGAAGUCAAGUUUUGGCUCUGCCAUCUCCUGACUCUGUGACCUGGGCAAGUCUCUAGGCCUCUCUGAGUCUCCUGUUCUCCUCUAUGAGGUGAGGAAAUGAGGACAUAGAGGCUCAGAGGGUCAGAUGACUUACUGAAGAUGUCAAAUUAACGAGAGUGUGGUGAUCUGCAUUCAGUCUGUCUGGCUAUUUUUUUUCUCAGAGAGAGAGAACUUCCAGCUGCAGUGGAUCAGUUUAAUUCAUGUUAUUUGUUGAGUGCCCUCUGUGUGCUGAGUGCUGUGCUGUCUCCUAUAAAACGUCUCCAACAUUCCUCUUCCUCUU
Molecule: non-coding RNA, 892 nt
Organism: Equus caballus (horse)
Lineage: Eukaryota; Metazoa; Chordata; Mammalia; Perissodactyla; Equidae
Source: RefSeq, a predicted model, not a curated record